This is a non-coding RNA of Gorilla gorilla gorilla (western lowland gorilla), 148 nucleotides long. It matches the Rfam family "Metazoan signal recognition particle RNA". From Rfam's summary of the family: The signal recognition particle (SRP) is a universally conserved ribonucleoprotein. The record is from Rfam. Lineage: Eukaryota; Metazoa; Chordata; Mammalia; Primates; Hominidae.
GCUGGGUGUGGUGCUGUGUGCCUGUAGUCCUAGCUACUUGGGAGGCUGAGGCAGGAGGAUUGCUUGAGUCCGGGAGUUCAAGGCUGCAGUGAGCUAUGGUCAUACCACUGCACUCCAGCCUGGGUGACAGAGCAAGACUCUGUCUUUA